This 130-nucleotide ribosomal RNA is filed under the name Enterococcus avium. Its description in RNAcentral is "partial 23S ribosomal RNA". It matches the Rfam family "Bacterial large subunit ribosomal RNA", at positions 1 to 130 of the family's 2925-position model. The record is from RNAcentral. Lineage: Bacteria; Bacillati; Bacillota; Bacilli; Lactobacillales; Enterococcaceae.
GGUUAAGUGAAUAAGGGCGCACGGUGGAUGCCUUGGCACUAGGAGCCGAUGAAGGACGGGACUAACACCGAUAUGCUUCGGGGAGCUGUAAGUAAGCUUUGAUCCGGAGAUUUCCGAAUGGGGAAACCCA